CAAGCAAGCCAAGGACCAUAUGUUUUUUGUGUUACACUUUCAGCAUCUAAGCUUAUUAUAUUCAACACAAGGAGAAAGUCCCCGGAAAAAAAAUAUCUUCUGUCCAAUGAUUAAAGAUUAGGGCAGUGGGGUAUUUAGUAAAGCAACUUUGUUUGUUUGUUUUUUUCAUAAUAAAAGUAAUAUGGUCACCCUAUAAUAAUGGGGCAACUUAAUGGGGCUUACUCUGGCUUGUUU
Puccinia triticina 1-1 BBBD Race 1 is the source of this 234-nucleotide non-coding RNA. It matches the Rfam family "RNase MRP". Rfam says of the family: RNase MRP is an enzymatically active ribonucleoprotein with two distinct roles in eukaryotes. The record is from Rfam. NCBI's taxonomy places the organism in Eukaryota, Fungi, Basidiomycota, Pucciniomycetes, Pucciniales, Pucciniaceae.